RNAcentral lists this unclassified non-coding RNA (201 nucleotides) under Hevea brasiliensis (rubber tree). The record is from RNAcentral. Lineage: Eukaryota; Viridiplantae; Streptophyta; Magnoliopsida; Malpighiales; Euphorbiaceae.
GGAGAGUCUUGGUUCAACCUUCUGCUUAUUGAAUCAUAGUUUACCAGCGUUGAUACCCAUUAGUAGGUAUCACUCGUUAGUAUGGAAUGAUUGUGAUAUUAUUUGGCACGCUUUUGGUUUGUUCCCUGGUGUGUUCAAACAACAUUAAUGAUACCCUAGCAUCUCUUUUGGUCGGUCAUCCUUUUGGUAGCUUUCUUCCGG